This 489-nucleotide ribosomal RNA is filed under the name Yarrowia lipolytica. Its description in RNAcentral is "eukaryotic LSU rRNA". It matches the Rfam family "Eukaryotic large subunit ribosomal RNA", at positions 47 to 554 of the family's 3401-position model. The record is from RNAcentral. Lineage: Eukaryota; Fungi; Ascomycota; Dipodascomycetes; Dipodascales.
UAAGCGGAGGGAAAGAAACCAACCGGGAUUGCCUCAGUAACGGCGAGUGAAGCGGCAAAAGCUCAAAUUUGAAACCCUCGGGAUUGUAAUUUGAAGAUUUGGCAUUGGAGAAAGCUAACCCAAGUUGCUUGGAAUAGUACGUCAUAGAGGGUGACAACCCCGUCUGGCUAACCGUUCUCCAUGUAUUGCCUUAUCAAAGAGUCGAGUUGUUUGGGAAUGCAGCUCAAAGUGGGUGGUAAACUCCAUCUAAAGCUAAAUACUGGUGAGAGACCGAUAGCGAACAAGUACUGUGAAGGAAAGGUGAAAAGAACUUUGAAAAGAGAGUGAAAUAGUAUGUGAAAUUGUUGAUAGGGAAGGAAAUGAGUGGAGAGUGGCCGAGGUUUCAGCCGCCCCUUGUGGGCGGUGUACUGCCGACGCCGAGUCCUCGAUAACGAGACGAAGGUUUCAAAUGGGAGCGCCUUUCGGGCGUUCUCCCCUAACCCUCCACAC